UUUAAUGUAUAUUCAUUUUUUUCUAAACAAUAAGUAGUGUCAACUUAAAGAGUAUGAAAAUAUAAACAAAUUAAAGGGCAGAACAUUUACAAUGAAAAACAUUUUCUAUUAUACUAUGUUAAGAUUACAAUUUUGAGACUCUCUCGAAUGGAAAAUCCUGGUAUUGGUGCAAUUAGCGAUCCUUGCGACGAUGGGGAUCGGAACACCAAAAAAGUUCGUUUCAAAGAAGCAGUUGAUGGAGAAGAGACUAACAUGGUUGUUGGCUCAGAUCAACAGUCGAUGAUGUCUUUCAAAGAUAAACUUUUUGGGGGUGGACUGACUUCUCCCGAUAGGUACCUUACAAGAAACGAAUGUGAUCUUGUUUUACAGGAUGGGGAUGUUAACACGUCAAUGGUUAAUGGGAUUCCGGUAAUCGCUUUUUUAGAUCGCAUCAAAGACAUACUGUUCAAAGAGAUCGAAUCGACUGUUAUUUUAAAUUGCUCGGGCGUAACAUUGGUUAUAACAUGCUAUAAAACCGUAUCCUUAAUCUAUGGAAACCGGUCAAUUCUUUUCACUUAAUGGAUAUUACUAAUGGAUAUUUUUUGGUGAAAUUUCAGGAAAUGGAAGAUUACAAUAAAGUUUUAACCCAGGGAGCAUAGAUUAUAUUCAGGCAAUACCUCACUGUGCAACCAUGGACGAAAAAUUUUAAUCCAGAGCAACCCUAUCCCAGUGUGGUGUUGGCUUGGAUUCAUCUGCCGGGUCUCCCAGGUUAUCUGUACAAGAGACAAAUCAUUGAAGCAAUUGGCGGAUUAAUAGGGAAAGUUGUUAAACUAGACCUACAAACCAAUAACAGAACCCGGGGACGUUUUGCCCAUUUAGUAGUGUUCAUUAAUCUUGACGAACCACUUACCUCCAAAGUCUUGGUGGAUGGAGUAAUCCAACGGGUUGAAUACGAGGCACUCCUGACGAUUUGUUUCAGUUGCGAGAAGUAUGGACAUGUUAAGGAAAUAUGCCUGUCGGUGAGGGUUAAGGUGGCUUUGAAAAGGCCGAGGACUGAGGAAGUGGUGGCUUCCAGUGAUGGCGUGGGAGAAGACAAUGAUGGAAAGGGAGUCGAUUACGAACCUUGGAUGUUGGUCAAGAGAAAGUCACGGCGGGGUAAAAGGGAUUCUCAGGCUAGUGGAGGUGCAAAAUCUGGAAAGGACUUUUUGGGUUCUAGGUUUACAGCGCUAAUGGUGGAUGGUGGCUUAGGGGGAGAUUUAAUGGAGAUAAUGGGGGGAUUUUGAGUGAAAAGGAGAACGGUCACGCAGCUAGAGGUAAAAAGUAUUAUGAAAAUAAGGUUUUUUCUAAAGGUGAUUUGGGCAUUUUAGUUGAUUUGGGUCAUGGCGUUGAGGGGGGGUUUAAUAAGUUGGCUAGGCCUAUUGUGGGCUCAGGAGAGAGUGAGUCGAGUUUUGCUGGGC
Molecule: long non-coding RNA, 1436 nt
Filed under: Gossypium barbadense (sea-island cotton)
Lineage: Eukaryota; Viridiplantae; Streptophyta; Magnoliopsida; Malvales; Malvaceae
Description: long non-coding RNA (GBAR_LNC004059)
Source: RNAcentral